UCCUGAGCUUCUUAUUUAGGCGUUGUCCAGUCCAGUCGGAGUCUCUAUCGGCAAAAAAGAAGGCGUAGCACACGUCUGCGCACCUUCCCGGCUUACAUAUUGUCAGCCGCAGACGCCCGCACGCUCACACACUGCGCGACUUGCUUUUUGUACUCUUGUGCCCCCACAGCGCAUCGAAGGAGAGGGGCGUUUGCCCGUGUGUCUCUCUAUUUCUUUCAGCAUCGCACUCAAGAGAAGCGUCACCGCGGCAUCUUCCCUACCGCCCCUGCGCCCCUCCUCCCUCUUCCCAUCCUCGCAACUCCCGCACUGGGCAGCGUCACAGCAAACUGACACAGACUAUCAUCCGCAGGCAAUACAUUUCGCUUUCUUCUCUCAAAUCCUUUUCCCACCCUUUGUCUUUGGCCCGCGCCGCCGCUGUUGUCUCGCUGCACUCCUCCCCUCAUUCUGCCUCUCUGUCAGUGCGUGCGCGUGCGUUUGCGUGCGUGUGUGUGUCGCUGCUGCCGGUGUUGCACCUCUUCCCACGCCACUGCCGCUGCCGCUGACUGCUGCCAAGCAUUUCUCUGUGCUCUUCUUCCCCCUUCCCUCUCCAUUUUAUCCGCUCGGACGUGGCGGCCUUCUGCAUCGCUUGUGCGCGGCCAAUUACUCUCUUCGACUUUUUGGAGGGGUGGUGUUGGAGGUGGUGGUGUUUUGGGUGAUGUGACGCGUGCCUUUGAGUGCUGCCGUCUCCCUCCAUUGCUCUUUCCUACACCGACACACACAUGUGUGAAUCUUUUACUUGUCCACGUUUCCAGGCAGAGGCACAGAAUAUCGAGCGGCACCUCCGCAGCGGAGGUACCGCAUCCCUCUCUUUCUCCCGCAACGCCCCCACCUCGUCGCUGAGAACACCUUGUCGUGAAGCGAGGGCGUGCGCACUGAGGCGAAUUUUGAGACCAUCAAGGACGGCGCACGCGUACGGCACGCACACACUGACACAUCCCCCCACCCCCAAAUAUAUAUAUAUAUAUUAGACUGGCACAUAGAGCGAGGGCAAGAGAGUGAGAUUGGCGCAACGCGCGUCCAGUUUGCAGCUGUAGACCCAUUAGAGGUGGCGGUAUCGCUUGAACGCGCUGGCCACGCCCACGCCGACAUACGCCCCACCGCGUGCUUGUGUAUCCUUGUUCUGUUCUUUGCCUGUCCUCUCCACUGCGUGCACCGUGGUUUUUCUUGUGUUGUGUUCGCCUGCUCGCCGCGCGCUCGCUACACCGUCCUCCUCCCCACCGUAUUACUCUCUUUCUUUGCUCCGUGGUGCGUGUGCGUGUGCGUGCUCGUCAUCGCUGCCUUGUCUCUCUCUCUCUCUCUCUGCCUGCAGCUUGUGUUCUUUCUUCCCUCCUUUUUCGUCUUGCCUUCGACUUCUCUCUUGCCUGCGUGCCUGGAUGCGGGUGUUGGUGCUGGCGCUGCUCAAACAAGGAUUGUCUCCGGCUACACGCCACCCUCACCCACUACCCACUCCUCCAUCUUAUCCCGUCUGCCUGCUGCACACGCCAGCGUUGUGGAGGAGGGAGGUCUGCAGCCUCGCAUCUCCCCCACCUCUCUCUACACGUAUACGUGUGUCUCUAGAUGUGCGUGCUGCGUGGUUCUUUCUUUUUAUGGCUCGCAUCGUUGUGCCUCUGCUUCGCUUCUUUCUUCCCAUUGUGACUCCUCCGUAGCCAGCGCGCACACACACACACGCAGGUAGACACAGGAAAGCGUUCUUGCGCCUCACCUCUGCACGAGCCGCCACAGCGACCUCUUACCGCAAACAUGUCUGUCUCGGAGAGGUGUGACCCCUUCUCGCCACACGGGCCAGGCUGCUUCAGCAUGGCGAGCCCGCCUCUGCGGGCGUCGGAUCUUUCCUCGCCCAGCCCAAGCAUCAGACUGCAGCGGGAGCGGACGCGCAGCAUGGGGACCCGGCUCAGCGCCUCGAUCACUCGCGAUGGCGCUGAAAGGGUGCUGCCUGCAUCCUCCUCACGAGUGGAGACGCUGGCGCGCGAUGCAAAUAAGAAGUGCGAACAACAGCUAAUGCAAGAGGAGGAGCUGUGUGGUCCCUCGUAUCGCGAGGUCGAAGGCCGACGUCCCUCAAGAACUCUAAGCCCCGGCGGUGCCGGUGACACAAGCGGCGCCGAGGACGGAGGCCGCGUCCGUGGCAAGGAGUACGUGGAAGACAGCGACGACGAAGAUGUGUACAACUCGCACGUUGCGCGACGAAUCCGCGCCUUUCUCGACAGCAUAAAGGAGGAGGACUUUACGCGCAAUCCGUCGCCGGUUGACGCGAUAAGCAUGGAUGCUAACGGUGAGGGUAUAGACGAGGAGGUACUGCGCCAGCGGCGGCUAGAACGGGCGUCAGUCGAUGAGAUUCGCAGCAUCGCAGCGGAGGCGCAGCGCGAGCUCCUGAUUGCCCUCCACGACGCCAUCACACUGGAGACGGACUUGGCAGAGAUGAGCGAGGACGCUGCCGUGCUCGAGCGUGCCGUCGGCCAUCGGGAAGAGACCGUCGAGGUGCUGAGGAUGCAGCUCAGCAUAGCUGAUGAGUACAACGAGGAACUGCACGGCGCCAAGAAGGAGGCGCUGCGCAAGCUCAGUGCUGCUAAGACAGAGAUCGCGCUGCUCAGCCAGCGCAAUGCAACGCUGUCGAAGCAACUGCAAGAAAAGGAGAAGGAGCUGCAGCUGAGUCUUGCGAGGAGUGCCAAUGCCUCGGCGAGCGCGUCGCCGCCGGCGCCGGAGCGCAGGGAUGAGGGCACCAUCACAACCACGGAGCUGCAUUCGGCGUUGAUCGCGGCCCCGGCCAGUGCCGGGGCGCCCAACAACGGCAGCCUUUCCACCCCGUCUUCCCCGACGCAGCACCGAGAAUGCGAGCUAGAGGGGAUGCUUCGGAAGCUGCAACUUGCCUGCGACACGCUUCAGUCCACGGUAAAGGUGAAGGCUGACCUAGAUCAGCAGCUGCAGCAGUUGACAAUUGGCGUCGGGGAGUCGCGGACCGACGCCGCCGCAUGCGGCUCUGCAAGCAGUGAAGCUGGCAUCUCUCAGUCGCACGGAGAGAGAUGCGCCCCCACUGACGCGGAGCAGCGCCUGCUGCGGCGUCGGUGCAAAGACGUCGCUUGCUGCACUGACUCUCUCGAGAACGAUAUACGGAUGCUGUCGGCGAAGGCUCGAGCGCAGCAGGCAUGCACCAACGCCGUGGAGGGCGGCAGCGCUGGACACCGCAGAAGUGCAGCGGAGGCCGAGGCAGCCACCCGGCCGCAGCCGGCGGAGUCGUCCGGUCCGGCUUCCGCAAGCGCCACCUCACCAGAGGGGCAAGGAGGCAGUGGUGGCUGUGCUGAGCCUGCGGACUCUAACCUAGCGUUUCUUCAGCGGCAGCUCGACUGUGCUCAGGCAGCCGCGCGGCGGCUUGAGAGCGAACUGCGCGCAGAGCGUGAAAAGUCGCAUCGACAGAGCGCGGCCGAGAAAAAGCUCUUGGAGAAUGUUGCCUACCUCACCCAGAAACUGCGCGCCCGCGAGGCGCUGGAUCGCGAGACACGCUUGCAGCGCCGGGCUGAGAAGAGCGGUACGCGUGACGACGGUGGCGGCACUGCGGAUGGGCGCCGGACUUUGCUUUACUCUCACUGCUUCAGUCAAGGAGUCAGUGCUGGCGUGCGGCGUGGGGCGAGCACGACCGCGGGGGACGUUUGUGGCGAAGGCGCCCCGACGUCGGUUCUGCGCCGUGCGAAUCGGGAAGCCGAUGCUGUCGGUAUGGGCGCUGCCACGGCGGCUGCCCGGAAAGGUCGCGCGAACUCACAAGAGCUGCGCCAGCGUAGAGAGUCGGUCUUUGCGGCGCUGCGCGACGCUCGAAGGGCCAGCGAUGAGCGCCGCUCCUCCCACGUUGAGAGCGACACACGGCGCAGCUCAGAUGGGCAGACGUCCUUCUCCUCUAUCCCGCCGACUUCCUCGUCGCGCGACGCAGCGCUGAAAACGAGCGGCAACGCAGUCAAGAGCGGCACGAGAAGUACCACACCCACUUUGACUCCGUCGCGCGGCUAGGUGGGUGUAUGUCUCCGCAACUUUCGCGUUGCUUGCCGAGAUCCUCUCACCCCCUCUUCCGAAGUUGGCGUGACGCCUCCUGCGGCCGAUCUCGCCCCCCUCUCGGCGGGCCGGUAGGUGGCAGUGAGCGUGGACUUGCCACGAGGCGGCCGCAGUGGCUCUCAGGCGUCGUUGGUGCGUGAAAAGGGCUUGAGCAGUACAGGGGGCGUGUAGCCACAUUGGGAAGAAGGCCCACAGGGCCGACCGCCGUGGGAGGUGUUCCUGCGCUCCAAUGCCUCUCUCUCUUGUCUGCCUUUCCCUUUUCUCUUCGUUGUCGGGCUCCGGUGGUGUCUGCCUGCUGCCCUCCUCGCUGCACGUAUGUGCGCAUGUGUGGGGGUGUGCCCCUCUUCCCCUUUUGCCCUCCGCUUGCUUCGCUGAGCUUUUCUCCUUUUCUAUUGUUUCCCCAGUGGUGCCCGUCAUCUGCGCAUCUCUGGGCAGGUUGCUGUGCUUCCUUCUACCUCUCCACGACCUCU
Molecule: unclassified non-coding RNA, 4544 nt
Filed under: Leishmania donovani
Lineage: Eukaryota; Euglenozoa; Kinetoplastea; Trypanosomatida; Trypanosomatidae
Description: gene:LdHU3.29.0670(CDS-product:hypothetical_prote in_conserved)
Source: RNAcentral